UACAGAGGGUGCAAGCGUUAAUCGGAAUUACUGGGCGUAAAGCGUGCGUAGACGGUUAUUUAAGUCAGGUGUGAAAGCCCAGGGCUCAACCUUGGAAUUGCAUUUGAGACUGAAUAGCUAGGGUGCGGAAGAGGGAAGCGGAAUUUCCGGUGUAGCGGUGAAAUGCGUAGAUAUCGGAAGGAACACCAGUGGCGAAAGCGGCUUCCUGGUCCAGCACCGACGCUCAGGCACGAAAGCGUGGGGAGCAAACAGG
RNAcentral lists this ribosomal RNA (253 nucleotides) under uncultured bacterium. RNAcentral describes it as "partial 16S ribosomal RNA". It matches the Rfam family "Bacterial small subunit ribosomal RNA", at positions 524 to 776 of the family's 1533-position model. The record is from RNAcentral.